GGCCCCGUAGCUCAGCUGGAUAGAGCAACUGCCUUCUAAGCAGUAGGUCGCAGGUUCGAGCCCUGCCGGGGUCG
RNAcentral lists this transfer RNA (74 nucleotides) under Microvirga subterranea. It matches the Rfam family "tRNA". From Rfam's summary of the family: Transfer RNA (tRNA) molecules are approximately 80 nucleotides in length. Their secondary structure includes four short double-helical elements and three loops (D, anti-codon, and T loops). The record is from Rfam by way of RNAcentral. RNAcentral also lists the same sequence under 2 other names. Lineage: Bacteria; Pseudomonadati; Pseudomonadota; Alphaproteobacteria; Hyphomicrobiales; Methylobacteriaceae.